GAUGAACGCUGGCGGCGUGCUUAACACAUGCAAGUCGAACGGUGAAGCAGAGCUUGCUCUGUGGAUCAGUGGCGAACGGGUGAGUAACACGUGAGCAACCUGCCCCUGACUCUGGGAUAAGCGCUGGAAACGGCGUCUAAUACUGGAUAUGAGCUGCGACCGCAUGGUCAGCAGUUGGAAAGAUUUUUCGGUCUGGGAUGGGCUCACGGCCUAUCAGCUUGUUGGUGAGGUAAUGGCUCACCAAGGCGUCGACGGGUAGCCGGCCUGAGAGGGUGACCGGCCACACUGGGACUGAGACACGGCCCAGACUCCUACGGGAGGCAGCAGUGGGGAAUAUUGCACAAUGGGCGAAAGCCUGAUGCAGCAACGCCGCGUGAGGGAUGACGGCCUUCGGGUUGUAAACCUCUUUUAGCAGGGAAGAAGCGAAAGCGACGGUACCUGCAGAAAAAGCGCCGGCUACCUACGUG
RNAcentral lists this ribosomal RNA (467 nucleotides) under uncultured bacterium. RNAcentral describes it as "partial 16S ribosomal RNA". It matches the Rfam family "Bacterial small subunit ribosomal RNA", at positions 28 to 507 of the family's 1533-position model. The record is from RNAcentral.